RNAcentral lists this ribosomal RNA (1347 nucleotides) under metagenome. RNAcentral's name for it is "bacterial SSU rRNA". It matches the Rfam family "Bacterial small subunit ribosomal RNA", at positions 157 to 1498 of the family's 1533-position model. The record is from RNAcentral.
GCUGCGCUAAUACCGCAUAUUCUGUGAGCAGGAAAGCAGGGGACCGCAAGGCCUUGCGCUCUUUGAGCGGCCGAUGUCAGAUUAGCUAGUUGGUGAGGUAAAGGCUUACCAAGGCGACGAUCUGUAGCGGGUCUGAGAGGAUGAUCCGCCACACUGGAACUGAGACACGGUCCAGACUCCUACGGGAGGCAGCAGUGGGGAAUUUUGGACAAUGGGGGCAACCCUGAUCCAGCCAUGCCGCGUGAGUGAAGUAGGCCUUCGGGUUGUAAAGCUCUUUCGGCCGGGAAGAAAUCGCAUGGGCCAAUACCCUGUGUGGAUGACGGUACCGGAAUAAGAAGCACCGGCUAACUACGUGCCAGCAGCCGCGGUAAUACGUAGGGUGCGAGCGUUAAUCGGAAUUACUGGGCGUAAAGCGUGCGCAGGCGGUUUUGUAAGACAGGCGUGAAAUCCCCGGGCUUAACCUGGGAACUGCGUUUGUGACUGCAAGGCUAGAGUACGGCAGAGGGGGGUGGAAUUCCACGUGUAGCAGUGAAAUGCGUAGAGAUGUGGAGGAACACCAAUGGCGAAGGCAGCCCCCUGGGUCGAUACUGACGCUCAUGCACGAAAGCGUGGGUAGCAAACAGGAUUAGAUACCCUGGUAGUCCACGCCCUAAACUAUGUCAACUAGGUGUUGGGUGGGUAAAACCAUUUAGUACCGUAGCUAACGCGUGAAGUUGACCGCCUGGGGAGUACGGCCGCAAGGUUAAAACUCAAAGGAAUUGACGGGGACCCGCACAAGCGGUGGAUGAUGUGGAUUAAUUCGAUGCAACGCGAAAAACCUUACCUACCCUUGACAUGCCAGGAACUUGCCAGAGAUGGCUUGGUGCCCGAAAGGGAGCCUGGACACAGGUGCUGCAUGGCUGUCGUCAGCUCGUGUCGUGAGAUGUUGGGUUAAGUCCCGCAACGAGCGCAACCCUUGUCGUUAAUUGCCAUCAUUUAGUUGGGCACUUUAACGAGACUGCCGGUGACAAACCGGAGGAAGGUGGGGAUGACGUCAAGUCCUCAUGGCCCUUAUGGGUAGGGCUUCACACGUCAUACAAUGGUCGGUACAAAGGGUUGCCAAGCCGCGAGGCGGAGCCAAUCCCAGAAAGCCGAUCGUAGUCCGGAUUGCAGGCUGCAACUCGCCUGCAUGAAGUCGGAAUCGCUAGUAAUCGUGGAUCAGCAUGUCACGGUGAAUACGUUCCCGGGUCUUGUACACACCGCCCGUCACACCAUGGGAGCGGGUUCCGCCAGAAGUAGGUAGCCUAACCGCAAGGGAGGCGCUUACCACGGCGGGGUUCGUGACUGGGGUGAAGUCGAAACAAGGUA